This 72-nucleotide transfer RNA is filed under the name Camelus bactrianus (Bactrian camel). It matches the Rfam family "tRNA". Rfam says of the family: Transfer RNA (tRNA) molecules are approximately 80 nucleotides in length. Their secondary structure includes four short double-helical elements and three loops (D, anti-codon, and T loops). The record is from Rfam by way of RNAcentral. RNAcentral also lists the same sequence under 1 other name. Lineage: Eukaryota; Metazoa; Chordata; Mammalia; Artiodactyla; Camelidae.
GAGGGUAUAGCUCAGUGGUAGAGCACGUACUUAGCAUGUAGGACACCCUGGGUUCAAUCCCCAGUACCUCCA